This 1250-nucleotide long non-coding RNA is filed under the name Anas platyrhynchos platyrhynchos (common mallard). RNAcentral's name for it is "lncRNA (ENSAPLG00000028211.1)". The record is from RNAcentral. Lineage: Eukaryota; Metazoa; Chordata; Aves; Anseriformes; Anatidae.
GCCACAGCUUCAUGCCAGCUCGGCACAGCCUCUUGUCUCCGGGCCUCCAAAAUGGAGCCCCUGCGUGUGACGUGCCCAAGGUGCCCAGCCCUGGGUGCUGCAGGAGGUCGGGGAUCCGAAACACCCCUAAAUUGGCUGUACCCAGCUCCUCUCUCCCAGAACUUGGCCCCCAAACCACCUCACAGCCUAAGAUUGAGCCGGCUGAAGCUGGUGCCAAGGAGGGCCGAGGCCCCUGGAGAUGGAGGCUGGGAGGGGAGCACAGCGGCCCCUGGGACAGCGCAGGAGGAGGCCUCAGCACCCGGCGUGUCCCGGGUACAGCAGAGACAUGGAAAUGUGCUUCUGACAUCUCUCCUUGCCGAUUCCAGAGAAACAGCCUGAACUGCCACCCUUCCCGGGCACCUUGGACAUCAUUUAUCAAGAAAAAGUGCAGCCCUGGAACAGGAAGGCCCAGCAGAAGAAGGAGCCUUCGUUGAGGUGAGGCUGGAGGCUCCGGGAGGGGGGGAGGAGGCUGCCAGGAGCCCCCCACUUCUCAGGGCUGGCCCCUCUGUUUGGGGUCUGCAGCCACGGGCGCUGCAUGGAGGGGUACAAGAUGGGGCCCCAAAGAUGUCGUGCAGGUGGAUGAAUUCUUUUGGCUUUGUCCUUUCGGCAGGCUGCCGGUGAUGCCCAAGCUGCCUCCUGCCAUAACGGAGCAUUUGCGCAACCAGCUGCAGAAAGGAACUGCGCCCAAAACAGAGCCCAGGAGCAAAUCCAAACAAGAGCCCAAAACAGCACCCAAAGAGCAGGUGCAAGACCAAGGCCGGGCAAAGGCUGAAAAAUCUGGAAAACAUCAGAAGAGCAAGGGCCAAAAAGCAGCAAAAGCCCCUCCUGAAGUCAGGACAGUACCCAUCCUGGAAGCCCUGCCUGUGACGGAGCGAGUGAAGCGCCCCAAAUCUCAGAAAGCCCCAGGCCUGCUAGAAACACCCAUCGUGUCCAUACUGUCCCUGUCGAGCUCGGAGGGCAGCAUGAUUCAGGAGCCCAGCGACAACAGCGGCAGAUUCCAGCGAGGGAGCUCCAGCUCCCAAAGACUGCCAAAGUUACGGGCUGGGAGGUUCUGGUCCGUGCUUCCAGACCGCCCAAAGAUGGAGGCAUCCAAUUGCAAGCCCUCUACUUCUGGCACACAGAAGGACCAGGGGGCCAGCUCUGCGCAAUUUCAAAAACCAAAGCUCCUACCCAGGCCCUCUACGCCGUUGCCUGUAGGUAAGAAAGCCAGC